This 1163-nucleotide long non-coding RNA is filed under the name Olea europaea (common olive). RNAcentral's name for it is "long non-coding RNA (OEUR_LNC010497)". The record is from RNAcentral. Lineage: Eukaryota; Viridiplantae; Streptophyta; Magnoliopsida; Lamiales; Oleaceae.
CCAAUUUUCCCAAAUUUUUACCUUCUUUUUUAUUUCCAGCUCUAAUCUUCACUUUCCCUUUCUUUUCUUUCCCUCAAUUUCAUUUUUUGCACAUCCAACAUAUCAAUGAUCCCUCUCAUCUUCAUACCAUAUAAUCAAUGGUGAUAAAGAAUGAUCGUGACCUUUUCAUUUAUGGAUGUAGCCUGGAGGAGUUAAGUUAUUUUGACAAUUUUAUUUUAUUUUUCUUCUCUAUUUUUUUGAUUUGUUUUUCUUUUCAUCCUCAUUAUUAUUUUAUUUGUAUAUAAUGAUUAGCCUUUCGUACUUCCUCUAUUGUUAGUAAAAAUAUUCUAAUAUGAUUUUGUGAUUUAAUGUUGCUUUGUGAUAUGCCCACCAGAUGCUUGUUGAAAUUUCCAACCGACAAAAGCCUUUUUUUUCUUAACAAAGCUUGACAAGUGAGAAAGAUGGGUUUAAGAAUUUAUUGCUCUCAGAGUGUUUAAGGAGUUCAUUACUUGGUGUCUUUAGAAGGACCCUGGAAAGAGGUAGACCAAUAGGUCGCUGUUGUUCCAUCGUUAUAUCUUUCAAUAUGGUUCUCUGAUCAAUAAUGGUGGCUGGAGCGAUCAGGUGCAUCGGUCUAAAUUUCGAGUAUUUGUUAUAUCUUUCAAUAUGAUUCUAUUUUCAACUUAUUUGGUUUGAUCCAGUUUCAAACAUGGAUAUGUUGCCUACAUCAAUAUUAGUAUUCCAGUCAAUAUUUCAAAUAUGCCCAGAAAAUAUGAAUGGUUUCUUUACUUUCAACAGACAACUAUUCGCAAAAGAUCAGUGUGUUCUAGAAUAAACAAAAUAUGAAUAUAAGCUAUAGAACAUACAUGCAAUACAAAAGUAAUAUAUAAACCGGUUAUGCAUUUGAUUUUGAUUUGAUAUUAUUUACUCAUUUGGAUGGCAAUACAAAGUGUAAUCAUCCUAAGCUAUAGAACAUACAUGCAAUAAAAAAGAAAUACAUAAACCGGUUCUGCAUUUGAUUUUGAUUUGAUAUUAUUUACUCAUUUGGAUGGCAAUACAAAGUGUAAUCAUCCUAUUCUAUAGGUGGGUACACCCAUAUAUAGCAAUGUAAAAUCAUGAUUCUUGUAGUAAUCAAGCUAAAAAAUCUGCAGUAACAUUAGAAGAAAAAGAAAAUAGGUUAGUCAAUU